CUGUUCUUACAGAAGAUCCCAGUUCAAGAGCUUUACUGGACAUAUUGCUCUGCAGUCGCUGCAGGUUGUUAACAUACAGGUUUUACAAACGUUAUCACUGCAAGGUUUCUAUAGUGUCUGUACAGCAUUUUAUACCUGCUUAAUUAGAAGUUAAAUCCAGGUUAUGGCCACAGUAAUGGCUACCAGUCUCAGCAAAAAUAGGAGAUGAUAUUUUGGAAGACCUCAGCAUUUAAUUGCUUUGGAGCAGACUGCCUAGCAGGACCUGCACUACUUUUUUAAAAUGAUGUAAGGAAAUGGCAUGAAAAACAGCCGCACAGGCUUUAUCAGCCCUUCUGUGCUGCUUCAGGAAAUACUUUUAGUUGUGGAUUGCUGGUGAUGUGAUGACGUGGUUGUAUGCCCAGCUGCUGGAGACUGUUCAGAGACAGGACUGGUGCACUGCAAAGGGCGUUUCCAGUAGUUCAAAGAAAAGGGGGGGAAAAAAAGUACUUUGAAUUGUCACAUGCUGUUAAUCAGAACUGGAAAUCCAAAUUUUCUUCCAAGUUUCUUAUUUAAACUAGUAUGGAAGACCAAUGAAACAGAACAUGACUACCAGCCUUUGUAUUUUGUUAUUGCAGUGAAGCAAAACUGCUAAGCCCUGCUUUUCUCUUCACUUUUGCGAGCUUAGUUUGUGGAAGUACUGACGGGGAGACAUCUGCCAGCGUGAUUGAGCUGCAGCAUUUACGGCUGAGUUCAGAUACUGAAAAAAAUGCUGGCUGAAGCAUAGAGUCACAGAUACACUUUUCACAGGCAAAGGAAUCCAGAUUCUCAAAGAAAAGCUGUUCAGUGUAUAAUUUAAAAAUGAAAUAUUUUUUCCCCAUACCAUUUAACUGUGCCUGCUUCAUUUCUGUACACACUCAACAGGAUGAGACGGGAGCAUAUCUCAUCGAUAGAGAUCCCACAUAUUUUGGUCCAAUACUGAACUACCUCCGACAUGGGAAGCUUAUCAUAAACAAGGAGCUCGCAGAAGAAGGGGUACUGGAAGAAGCUGAGUUUUACAACAUUGCAUCACUUGUGCGGCUGGUGAAGGAGCGGAUACGGGAUAAUGAGAACAGAACCUCUCAAGGACCUGUGAAGCAUGUAUACAGAGUCCUUCAGUGCCAAGAGGAAGAGCUCACACAGAUGGUGUCCACCAUGUCUGAUGGGUGGAAAUUUGAACAGCUAAUCAGCAUUGGAUCUUCAUAUAACUAUGGAAAUGAAGACCAGGCAGAAUUCCUCUGUGUUGUGUCUAGGGAACUCAACAAUUCUACCAAUGGCAUUGUCAAAGAGCCCAGCGAGAAGGCAAAGUCCAUGCAUUUUCCCCAGGACAGCAACAAAAGAUGACAUUUUAAACUCCUGGCAGGCAGCUAAAGCAUUUCUAGAGAAGAGACUCUGUUUUAACCAGCCUGUCAUUCGAUUCUUCAAGAGCGAGGAUCUCGGAUGUAAUACAAGUGUCCACUCCUCUAGAACUCCCAGAUGUCAAAAGGGCAAUCUAGUUGGACAGAGCAUCUCUCCACAAUGCAAACUUGCCCCUGUACAGUAACCAAGCUAAUGCAAAACAAAGCCAAGCCUGUCCUGCCAGUUAUGAGUAAUUCUGGUCCUAAUGAAAGGCUUUUCUUCUAUUCUGGAGAACAAGAAAGGAGAAAACUCUUCCAGGUGAAUUCCAGUCCAUUCCACAAGUAUUUGUUUUAUUUUUUUGGCCAGUGCUCUACUGAAUUUUUCCAACAACAGAUGCACUGGAUUCCCAGUUGGAUUCUUUGGAAAGGUUGGUUAGGUCCACGCAGCCUUGUAGUCAGUUCUACCUUACACAGGCUGCCAUGAGUGGAAAGAUCUGUUUGACCUGUGCUGCUUCUUGCACCUAGGUCUACAACCAUCAGAAUAGUACAGAGAUCUUGCAGUGCUCCCUCCUGAUCAGCCAGUCCCCCGUAGAUCAGAAAGGGCUUUAAAAGAAGGAACAAAGAAGCUACCUGUAAAAAACAAUUUUUUUCAUUCUUGCUUUGUAUUUGUUUCUUAUACAGUUCCUAAGAGCUGAGCUUAGAUAACAAGGGGAGCGGAGUUGCACGUACAUCUAACACAGGUCUUGCUGUUAACACCAUUAUAUAUGGGCUCCUGGCAUUUUUCAAAGCGCACUGCUUCUCAUGCAUAAAAACAGACCUGUGUUCGCCCAGAACAGUGACAGAGUAAUGGUUCUGUCCUGUACUCUUCUCUGUUGAAGAAGAGUGGUGACAUCUUCCCCGUCGAUACCUUGCCUUGACCAUAUAUCUUAGCCUGGUGCAAAGUCACAAGGUUAGGGACUUGUUCCUUCCAAGCUCAGCUUUGCCUUGUAGCCAGCAGCAUGGGCUCUGUCACCUGCCUUUUCACCAAGGGAGGACUGUGGGCAGAACUUCUUUUGUACUGUAGCAAGCAGGUAGGUUUGAUUUUACCCAUGGGAGUCUUCACGGAGGAGAUCCAUUAUUUACAUGCAGUGAUUUAACUGCAUCUUCCCUCGUGUCCCCAACCUUUAAAGAGAUCACCUCAAAUUACACAGGGGCAUCACAGAGCUGGAGGGUGUGGGGGGUGUGAAAAGUUGCCAAACUGUUGUAAUAUAUUUUGUCCAAUGUGUCAACUUCUGUGACUUUUUUUGAAUGCCUUGGAUGGAUGUGCAAAAUGUUCGUUUGUGCCUCUCUUGAACUCUAAUCUUAGCCAAAUUGCAGUCACUGUUUCCUCUGUGUUAAGCUGUGCCAUCCCUAACCAAGGGCAUGUCCCUCCUAGUCUGGUAAAUGAAAUUUCUUAGGAAUUUCCUGCUGUGCGUUUUUCUCCUUUCAUUCCUGCUUUGUUCUUUGUAGCCCAUGUGUUCUGGCACUUCGUUUUUUUUGAGUCAAAUUCCAAACUGAUGCUACAUGCAAAGCUUCAGAGAUGUUGGAAUUCGCAGACAUGGACGAGCUCAGAGCAGAUGAUUCUCAAUAAGGUAUCAGAAAUUCCUCACCUAGUUUGAGGAGUUCGGUUCUUUUAUGGAAAAAUUCAGCUACCUGUGGUCUCCUUACGGUGUUGAGAUGGAAAUAGGAAGGUCACCUGUCUUAUCACUUAUUGCUGGCAGGGCCUAAGGAUAGCAAAAUAUUACCAAAGGUCUGACAACCAGUUCAGUAAACAAGGCAUACAGCAAAGGCACAGAGCAACACAGCUGCACUCAGCCUCUUGGUGCAUGCUCGUGCCUGUCCUUUUCCAUCCUUUGCCAAUGUUCCACACCCUCACUGAAGGCUUUGCCUCAUUCACAAGAAUUGCCAGUCAGUUAUCAAUGCUAGUUUAGUCCUGGUAACAACAGACCAUGCCAAAUGUCUUUGAAUUCACAUUCUGUCAGUUAUAGGCUAUUGAAACACAGCUGGCUUGCCAUUAUGCUGAAGAACCCAGCUCUCCUUCCCUCCAUCUUCCCUGUUUAUAAUGUAGUGAGAUGGUAUUGGUGUGAUUAGACCAUACAGCUUGGCUGGGCCUAAAUAACACUGUGAUAGUAUAGAUAUCUCUCCUCUGCCAGUAUCUUCUAGUCUCAGUCAUUGUGCUCUCAGCUGAGAAAUCAAGAAUCAUCAUAAUGCAAGUUAACAGCCUGAAAAGCCCUCUAGUUCUCGUAUUCAUUUGUGUUCUCUCCCUUCCUUGGAGGAGGGAGUUUCUGGGAACUGGAAGGAAAUAUCAAACUGAAGGUGACAGGGACUGGGUGAGCUGCAUCUGUCACAUCAGUGCCAGCUGAACACCUCAAACUCACAGCAACACCAAUGAGCUCACCUGAAGGGAGACAUUCUGGCCAGUACACUUCAAGCAGGUAAAAGCAAUACCUUGUUCCAAAAUGCCAUACAUGGUGAAGCCUACGAGAGAUUGCAAAAACGAUAUCAUCACUCCCUACUGAGCCACAGAGAGCAAAAAAAACAAAAAACAAAAAACCAACCAUUAUCGGUUGAGCAGAGCAGCUGUUUAACUCAUCCAUGUGAAAGACUAUCAAAGCUGCACCUUGGAUCUCCCCUCCACGGUGCUUUCUGCAGCAAGGGCUUGUCAGUGCAUUCGAGUCUUGGCUUCGGUUGCACAGGCCUUGAGUUCUACAGAGUUGACAUAGAAAAACAGUCUGCUCCUGAAUAGCCCUUAUUGUUGGAUGAUACUUAGGGCAAGGCAAAAGACCAUGAAGGUAAAAUCCCAGUGGAGGAUUUCUCUUCCCUGAUAGUGCUAAUGACCUGUACCCCGAGACCAAGGGCUGCUCAGCAUGAUACACCAGCUGUAUCUCUAUUUGCUCAGCACAGGGCUUUUCCUUCUGUUACCUUUCACUCACAACUAUAUCAAAACUAACAGUGAAGAUGAAAUUUGCCCCACUGACUCUAAGGUAGUAUGCUGCGAGUAGGAGGAGAGGUACUGGAUAUCCAGGAGUGUUUGUACCUCUUGGGAAAGUUCACUUUAAAGCAUUAAUCCUGGGAAUGGAAAGUGUGUUUUGAUUUUUUUUUUUUAAGUUUUUCCAGUGGCCUGGGUUGUUCCAUUAUGGCAAGACUGGAAAUAACCUCUUACAGUGUCUUUGUUUCUGUAUAUUUUUAAAUAGAUUUUCUCAGGGGUGACUGAGUGGGCUGAGGCAGAGGGGGCAGUGGGAUGGAGCAGACCCCAGCCCUGCAGCUGGGCUGUGGGCUCCUCCUUUGCAAAUCCAGAGGUUUUGUACAGUUUGUCACCUGUCAGUGCCCUUUGCUACUGUUUCUCUUUGUUUAUUAAAUGUGUUCGAAUAACAGUUGAGAUGCUGCAAUUAAUUUGUUUUUCCAAUAAAGAUUCUGAAAUGGGUUUGAAGCAUA
Non-coding RNA from Meleagris gallopavo (turkey), 4805 nucleotides. Lineage: Eukaryota; Metazoa; Chordata; Aves; Galliformes; Phasianidae. The record is from RefSeq and is a predicted model, not a curated record.